RNAcentral lists this long non-coding RNA (2448 nucleotides) under Aotus nancymaae (Ma's night monkey). Its description in RNAcentral is "lncRNA (ENSANAG00000039110.1)". The record is from RNAcentral. Lineage: Eukaryota; Metazoa; Chordata; Mammalia; Primates; Aotidae.
CGGGGAGGUAGCGGUCUGUUUUUUAAGAGGAAAUCUUUGCGACCAGUAGGUCCAAGCUGGCUCAAAGAAGUUGCUUGCACAGGGGAAUCGAGGGUGGACUAGCUGUGUGGGUGUGGCUUAAUUCUGCUGUUUCUCUUUUGGAUGAGACCUUACACUUUUUGCUUUGCCUUCGUUAACGCUCGGUUCCUCCCACAUCUUUGGCUUCUCUCUGUGAAAUCCCUGCCACCUACAGAUUCCUUUUAUUAUCCCAUACUGGCUGCGACUAGUCUUAAAUACCCUGUUUCCGCUCUCUUUCUCACACGCAGUUCCUGGAAUCUACAUCCCUCUCUCCCUCGUUUGAUUAGCAGAACAUUUCCAGGGUAUCACAGUAUACUGAAAUAUUACAAGAGAGGUCCGUAAAUGCUGAACAUCCUCCUAUCUGGAAAAAGUUUAGCAACAGGAAGACAGUGAAAGAUAAAGAUGGCCACUCACCAAGAAGGGUGUGUCAGUGCUUUCCCCUAAGAUGUGAUUGUCCCAUAGAAGCGUUCCCCAGGGGAGUGGGUCUGUGCAGGCAGUUAAGUGGGAAGAGCUUCACUUAGUGUGCUGUCCUUCCUCAGCUUCAAGAGAAUCCACUUGAAGGAGAAGUCCCAUAUAUUAUGCCCAAUGUUUUGAAGCUUCUUUCAGUGCCUUCAUUUCAUCCAGCACCAAAAUCCUCAAUGGUGAAGAAAUCUAUAAAUGUACUGAAUCUGAGAAAAAGUUGGCACAGCUACACCUUCAUGCAGCACUGGAGAAACCUAUACAUUUAAAGAAGGACAGUUUUCAUUUGACUCUCAGAGCUGAUUGUAUAUUGGUGAAGACAUAUUUUUCUGCCAUUGCUUAGGGAUAAGACAAUGUAACAGAAACAUCAAAUAAAAUAUUGAAGAGAAAAAAGUACUUUUUUUUUAGGCCUUCUAGAAAGGGUAAUUGAGCAUGCUCCACAGACUUCAGCUAGUUUAUGAGAAAAAAAAAAAGGAGCCAACUUGAGUAAUGGACUCUAGGUGACAGUUCUGUUUGAGCUGAUGAAAUUGGCCAGCCAUGAAUACUGUCAGUAUCUCCCCUUACAAUUCUCUUGCCAUUUUGUUUUUACCCAAUCUUCACUAUUUGGCCUAAACAUCACCUCUGUCAGUCUCAGAGUUACACUCUCCCUCCUGUAUUCUCAAAUUUUCACAUAGUUGUAUGUGUGAUUAUAACAUUAUGGUCUCAGCUGGUUUCAACCUCUGGUCCAUUUACUCACCUCUUUUUAUCAUUUCCUUUUGUCUGGACCAUAAAUGAAAGUAAAAAAAGACAUUAGGUGAGGAGAAAAGGAGAUUUGUUCAUCAUGGCUUUCACCUUGGCAUUUGCCUUGACUUCUGACCUUCUUUACUCUGGGAUGCUUUUCUUGACCCCUCACAUCCCAGGGUGAGUCAAGGGGCCUUUCCUCAAGCUUGUUGGCCCCAACUUUAGUACUUAAUUAUGAUGUCAGGUUUAGGUGUAUAUCUACCUUACUAGUUGUGAGCUCCAUGCAGACAUAGAACACGUCCUGUUCAGCAUUGUGUUCCUAGUUCCUGGCGUACAGUCGGUGCUCAGUAAAUACUUGUUGAAAGAAUAGAUGAGUGAAUGCAAAGCUCUUGUUUUUGCUAAACCCUUUUCAACUUUCUUGCUUCCCUCUUCCCUAUCGUUUUCCCACAGCUCUGAGCUUCCCAUCCCCCAUUACUCCCCAUCAUUUUCCCACAGCUCUGAGCUUCCCGUCUCCCAUUACUCCCCAUCAUUUUCCCACAACUCUGAGCUUCCCGUCCGCCAUUACUCCCCAUCAUUUUCCCACGGAUCUGAGCUUCUCCCCCACCAUUAAUGUUCAUACAUGUUGCCUAGUUAAACCCAGCCUGCUUGUCCCUGGCUACAUGGAAAGGUACUGGAUGUGGGUGAUUGCUGUUAAUAUCUAAAUCUGUCGGAAGUGUCUGGAUGUAUUUUUUUCCAGCCUUAAGUUUAUUUUAUGAAAUUAAAAUAAAUAUGAAGACUCUAUGGGUCUUGACCUAGUGUCAUUUGAAGAUGGAAUUUCUCUGGUAGAUUAGUUUCUUGCUUGUUGCUCUCUUGAACUGUAGGCCGUUUUUGUAAGAAUGAUCAACUCUGAGUCAUCUUUACAUCCUGUGAAGAGAAUAGACUUGCGAAGAGGCUCAUCUUUCUUUAGUUUGGGAUCAGUGUUUUCAUUUGAUUAUAUUUAAUGUUGGGAAUUCAUACUACUUCCUAGCAUAUCAUAACAGUGUGAAGUCCCCAUUUAGGAGGCACUGGAAAUCUUCCACAUUUCACUGCCUGUUCAAUUUCUGCCAUCCUUUCAGCUGUAUUAAUUAUGACAUGUCUUCCUGGAUAGAUGUAGGUGCCCUGGAGCAAGACACACCAAAAACAAAACAAAACAAAACAAAACAAAAACAAAAACCACUCCUUGUUCAUCUGCCU